GGGGCGCGAGGCUGCCAGUGGCCGGAGUCGGAAACCAGGGUCGGUUUGCCCACGGGGCAGCCGUUGCAAUAUCCGAGCUCGGGCUCCCAGUCCGGGAUCCGAGGAGUUAGGUGCCAGCUGGAGAUGUCCCUCCGGGACCCGCACCCUUCUCCAGUUACAAAUCCGGUUUCCGUUUAGGUAAAAUGGAUAGAAUAAUAGUACUUACCUCAAAGGAUUGUUGAAGAGAAUCAACAAGAUGAUAUCCCUGAAGCACUGGGAAUAGUGUCUGGCACACAGCACUCUCCCAGGAGCACACCGCGGCGCUAGAGAAGACCAGGAAAAAGGACCUGAGCCAGCUUGCCGUCUUAACAAAAAUUUCAAACUUUGCAAAGCGGUAUACCUUCUUAUUCUCCAGUUCAGUAUUGCCAGUGAAGUCAUACUGAACGCAGACAAGGAAAAGAAAGAAAAAGAAACUCAAUGAGAUAUGUUGUCAUCUUCCCUGUUUUAUGGAUGAAGUUCUAAGUAGAGGUUCGGAGAAGAUGUUCAGCCUCAGAACGUAGCCACCUUGCUGUGAGAAAGCCCAACCAUCUUGUACAGCGAGACCACAUGGAGAGGCGCAUGUGGAAAGGAACGGAGGCUACAAGCCGAUAGCCAGCAUCGACUGCCAGGCACGGAGAGUGAGUCUUCAGAUGAAUCCAGCCUCAGCCUAGAGUCUUUUGUCUCAGGCCCCAGACACUGUGGAGCAGGGACAAGCCAUCCCCACUGUGUCCCACCCGCAUUCCUGAUCCACAGAAUCUAUGAGCACAAUAAAUAGUUGC
This 797-nucleotide long non-coding RNA is filed under the name Homo sapiens (human). RNAcentral describes it as "HSALNT0351618". Lineage: Eukaryota; Metazoa; Chordata; Mammalia; Primates; Hominidae. The record is from RNAcentral.